Molecule: ribosomal RNA, 238 nt
Filed under: uncultured bacterium
Lineage: Bacteria
Description: partial 16S ribosomal RNA
Rfam family: Bacterial small subunit ribosomal RNA
Source: RNAcentral
GACGGAGGAUGCAAGUGUUAUCCGGAAUCACUGGGCGUAAAGCGUCUGUAGGUGGUUCAAUAAGUCAACUGUUAAAUCUUGAGGCUCAACUUCAAAAUCGCAGUCGAAACUAUUGGACUCGAGUAUAGUAGGGGUAAAGGGAAUUUCCAGUGGAGCGGUGAAAUGCGUAGAGAUUGGAAAGAACACCGAUGGCGAAGGCACUUUACUGGGCUAUUACUAACACUGAGAGACGAAAGCU